This 448-nucleotide ribosomal RNA is filed under the name uncultured bacterium. RNAcentral's name for it is "partial 16S ribosomal RNA". It matches the Rfam family "Bacterial small subunit ribosomal RNA", at positions 329 to 794 of the family's 1533-position model. The record is from RNAcentral.
CGCCAGACUCCUACGGGAGGCAGCAGUGGGGAAUAUUGCACAAUGGGGGAAACCCUGAUGCAGCGACGCCGCGUGAGUGAAGAAGUAUUUCGGUAUGUAAAGCUCUAUCAGCAGGGAAGAAAAUGACGGUACCUGACUAAGAAGCCCCGGCUAACUACGUGCCAGCAGCCGCGGUAAUACGUAGGGGGCAAGCGUUAUCCGGAUUUACUGGGUGUAAAGGGAGCGUAGACGGCAUGGCAAGUCAGAUGUGAAAGCCCGGGGCUCAACCCCGGGACUGCAUUUGAAACUGUCAGGCUGGAGUGCAGGAGAGGUAAGUGGAAUUCCUAGUGUAGCGGUGAAAUGCGUAGAUAUUAGGAGGAACACCAGUGGCGAAGGCGGCUUACUGGACUGUAACUGACGUUGAGGCUCGAAAGCGUGGGGAGCAAACAGGAUUAGAUACCCCGGUAUA